Molecule: long non-coding RNA, 1465 nt
Organism: Ctenopharyngodon idella (grass carp)
Lineage: Eukaryota; Metazoa; Chordata; Actinopteri; Cypriniformes; Xenocyprididae
Exons: 2
Source: RefSeq, a predicted model, not a curated record
UGCAAAAGCAAACAUCUGUCAUGGUAUGGAGGUGCAUCAGUGCAAACGGCAUGGGUGACUCGCAUAUGUGUGAAGUAGUCAUUGAUGUGGAGGUGUAUAUUGGGAUUGUACAGAGACAUAUACUACCAUGAAGAUGACAAUUUUUCGUCGGAAGCAAGACAAUGCCAGGGCUCAUUCUGCACAUGCUAAAACAGAGUGGUUUCUUAGACACUCUACACUGUAGAAGGGAAGUGCUCGACUGGCCUAGCUGCAGUCCAGAUCUGUCUUAUUGAAAAUGUAUGGCCCAUCAUGAAAAGGAGAAUCAGACAACAGCGACCACAGACUGUUGAGCAGCUGUUUUGUAUCGGGCGAGAUUGGGCAAAAAUUUCAUUUGCAGAACUUUAACAAUUAGUAUCCUCAAUUCCCAAACAUUUAAAAAGUGUAAUUAAAAGAAAAGGUGAUGUAACACAUUGGUAAACAUGCCUCUGUCCCAAAUUUUUUGGAGUGUGUUGCAGCCAUCAAAAUCAAAAUGUGUUUAUAUUUACAAAAUACACUUAAGUUGGUCAGUGAAGUUGAUCUUUUCUUUGUACUUUUGUCAGUCAAAUAAAGGUUCAAGAGAAUUAACAAAUCAUAGAUUCUUGAUUUUAUUGCGUUUUACAAAAUGUCCCAACUUUUCUUGAUUUUGGGUUGUAAAAAAAAAAAAACUCUUUUUAUAUGCUAAUUAAGACUAUUAUCUGCUCAGUGGCUGUGAUAAAAUAAUGCAUUCAAAGCAUGUGAUGUGCGUGUUUGUGUCAUUGGGACUUUAGCUGUCAGCUUUACUGUGUUCGUCCGCUCUGUCCUGCUGAUGUCCUCACUCGACAUGACACACACACACACACACACACACACACACACAGACAGUCGUCUCUGAGUGUAUGGCUGACCUGUCAUGCCCGCGGGCUCUAAACUGUCAACGCAGAAUAACAUCAGAGCGAGAGCGUGAGUGAGAGAGUAAAGGGACGAGUGAGCAAACAGGAAGUGAAAGGAAAGCAGAGGAACAAACACGCAGCCAGAGUCAGUUAGUCUCCCGUGAACUGUGAGACGGUUUCUGACUUUCUCAAACACACUCCAGCCGCGCUGUCUGUCUGCAGGGCAAACAUGAGACGGAUAAUCUGACAGCAGAUAACCACCAGCCUGCCCGCAACACUCAUUUACGUAAACUACAGAGAGACAGAGGAUCCGCUCUGACGGACAACAAAGUUGAGUACAGUUAUUCCUCCAGCGUGAGGAAGAUCCAUUUAGAUCCGCUCUGAUGGACAACAAAAAAAAACUCCCUGAAACUUCCUAACUCUUCCAUCCAGAUAGUGGUAUUCUCUGUUUUUACUGUUAUUUUUAUUUCUUAUGCGUUCCAUUUUUAUUCUUAUGUAUUUGGUUCUUCUUUAUGUAAAGCAUUUUGAAUUACCAUUGUGUAUGAAAUGUGCUAUACAAAUAAAAUUGCCUUGCCUUG